Molecule: ribosomal RNA, 713 nt
Filed under: uncultured bacterium
Lineage: Bacteria
Description: bacterial SSU rRNA
Rfam family: Bacterial small subunit ribosomal RNA
Source: RNAcentral
AGCGAACAGACGAGGAGCUUGCUCCUCUGACGUUAGUGGCGGCACGGGUGAGUAACACGUGGAUAACCUACCUAUAAGACUGGGAUAACUUUCGGGAAACCGGAGCUAAUACCGGAUAAUAUAUUGAACCGCAUGGUUCAAUAGUGAAAGACGGUUUUGCUGUCACUUAUAGAUGGAUCCGCGCCGCAUUAGCUAGUUGGUAAGGUAACGGCUUACCAAGGCAACGAUGCGUAGCCGACCUGAGAGGGUGAUCGGCCACACUGGAACUGAGACACGGUCCAGACUCCUACGGGAGGCAGCAGUAGGGAAUCUUCCGCAAUGGGCGAAAGCCUGACGGAGCAACGCCGCGUGAGUGAUGAAGGUCUUCGGAUCGUAAAACUCUGUUAUUAGGGAAGAACAAAUGUGUAAGUAACUAUGCACGUCUUGACGGUACCUAAUCAGAAAGCCACGGCUAACUACGUGCCAGCAGCCGCGGUAAUACGUAGGUGGCAAGCGUUAUCCGGAAUUAUUGGGCGUAAAGCGCGCGUAGGCGGUUUUUUAAGUCUGAUGUGAAAGCCCACGGCUCAACCGUGGAGGGUCAUUGGAAACUGGAAAACUUGAGUGCAGAAGAGGAAAGUGGAAUUCCAUGUGUAGCGGUGAAAUGCGCAGAGAUAUGGAGGAACACCAGUGGCGAAGGCGACUUUCUGGUCUGUAACUGACGCUGAUGUGCGAAA